This 21-nucleotide microRNA is filed under the name Chrysemys picta (Painted turtle). Its description in RNAcentral is "cpi-miR-27a-5p". Its record names the gene cpi-miR-27a-5p. Lineage: Eukaryota; Metazoa; Chordata; Testudines; Emydidae. The record is from miRBase by way of RNAcentral.
AGGGCUUAGCUCACCUGUGAA